CUCGUGUUUUGUGACUUGUGAACAUCUCUGAAACACACACCUGACCUCAACCCCAUACGAACACUCGCUUACCCGCUAAGAAACAAACGAAAAAAAGAGUAAAGUGAACAACACACUCACCUUCUGGCUGAAGGGCCAUUUCAGCAGGGCGUCAUAUUUUCCCCUCAUCACCACAAAGAAGAGGGAGAGGUGGCUGCCUUUGCCAGAACCGUCACCAUUCAGACAUGGUGCCCACUCACACCAAUGAGCCAGAAAAGCCAAUUCACCUUCUGUAUGUGUUGAAGAGUUGACUGAAACCCAGAGUACAGAAGGAUCCCACAUGGACAUGAGGAGAACAUCCGAACCUCUUUACAGACGGUGAUCGGAAGCAAGGAUUAAACCCAGGAACCAUGUUUUGUUGUUUGUUCCCAUUAAAGCCAAUGUCUUAGCCGAACAGAAUGUCAAAAAAGCACAUCAGCACAUCAGCUGAGUAUUUAAGACCUUCUUAAACGCAACGUGAAUGAUAAAUGGUCAAUAAAACAAAGCAUUUACAGUCAAGCUGGUAAAGAGCAUCACAUACAGGACAGAAUAGAAUAAUAGAAUACUAAAACUUUACAGAUAAAGCAAACAAUAGGUGAUACAACAAAAAAAUGGAAACACCUGCUAUGGAUGAAAAGGAAGAGUGAAUAUAUGCAUGGCAGAGACAGACAUGGCUCUUCUGCCCAUCAUGCAUGCAUCUAAAAACGUUAUGCUGCAUUGCUGAAGUAGAAUUCGGACGGGAAAUGAAUUUUUACCAAAGAACAUCUCUCACGAUUAUUACUAAUGAUUAAUGAAUUGUCCUCGCACGCGUAAUACGCGUAAAACAUCUUAAACACAUUAUAAAUUCUCUAACUUAAUUAUAACUGCUUGUUUUUAGGGUCUUUGUCUAAACAGCUAUGAUUAGUAAGCUACAUGUCUAUUUUAUUUACUGCAUUCAUAAAUAAAGUUGACUGUAUAGCCAAAAGUAUAAAGACUGCCCCAUUCCAAAAUAUAUUUACUAAUACAACAGUAAGAAAUGAUGCCCGUUUAGAA
This is a long non-coding RNA of Trichomycterus rosablanca, 1050 nucleotides long. RefSeq lists it as uncharacterized. The transcript has 3 exons. NCBI's taxonomy places the organism in Eukaryota, Metazoa, Chordata, Actinopteri, Siluriformes, Trichomycteridae. The record is from RefSeq and is a predicted model, not a curated record.